RNAcentral lists this small RNA (31 nucleotides) under Arabidopsis thaliana (thale cress). Its description in RNAcentral is "ATSL122440". Lineage: Eukaryota; Viridiplantae; Streptophyta; Magnoliopsida; Brassicales; Brassicaceae. The record is from RNAcentral.
CAUCGUCAAUGAGCUGCGGACUGAUCCUCGU